RNAcentral lists this long non-coding RNA (256 nucleotides) under Gossypium barbadense (sea-island cotton). Its description in RNAcentral is "long non-coding RNA (GBAR_LNC013432)". The record is from RNAcentral. Lineage: Eukaryota; Viridiplantae; Streptophyta; Magnoliopsida; Malvales; Malvaceae.
UGAUAUUGAUACUGAAAAGGGCUUAAGCCCAGACUGUGAUUAUCUGUUUACUGUCUAUUCAUUUGUAUGGGGAUUACACACUUAGUUUACGUAAACUCACCCCUUCUGUUUAAUCUGUACAGGUAAUCCCCAGAUAUAGGCGGAUCAAUGCGGCGGAGGACUCAUUGGUGGCCACACAGCUUUAUUUACACUGUUUAUUGUUUACUUGUGAUUUUACUUUUAUUUGGGAGUAUUUUGUUGUAAUUAUGGCCUUUAC